Molecule: ribosomal RNA, 427 nt
Filed under: uncultured bacterium
Lineage: Bacteria
Description: partial 16S ribosomal RNA
Rfam family: Bacterial small subunit ribosomal RNA
Source: RNAcentral
GUGGGGAAUAUUGGGCAAUGGGGGAAACCCUGACCCAGCGACGCCGCGUGAGGGAAGAAGGCCUUAGGGUCGUAAACCUCUGUUGUGUGGGAAGAAGAGCGUGACGGUACCACACGAGGAAGUCCCGGCUAACUACGUGCCAGCAGCCGCGGUAAUACGUAGGGGACGAGCGUUGUCCGGAUUUACUGGGCGUAAAGGGCGCGUAGGCGGUCAUUUAAGUCAGCUGUGAAAUGGUUUGGCUUAACCGGAUCAUGCGGUUGAAACUGGAUGACUGGAGUGCUGGAGAGGCAAGUGGAAUUCCCAGUGUAGCGGUGAAAUGCGUAGAUAUUGGGAAGAACACCGGUGGCGAAGGCGACUUGCUGGCCAGAAACUGACGCUGAGGCGCGAAAGCCAGGGGAGCAAACGGGAUUAGAAACCCGAGUAGUCC